GGACUGUGGCUCAGUGGUAGAGUGCUUGCCUAGAAUGUGCGGGGCCUUGGGUUCGAUCCUCAGCACCA
Molecule: transfer RNA, 68 nt
Filed under: Marmota monax (woodchuck)
Lineage: Eukaryota; Metazoa; Chordata; Mammalia; Rodentia; Sciuridae
Description: tRNA.Ser
Source: RNAcentral